RNAcentral lists this ribosomal RNA (833 nucleotides) under uncultured eukaryote. Its description in RNAcentral is "SSU rRNA". It matches the Rfam family "Eukaryotic small subunit ribosomal RNA", at positions 50 to 893 of the family's 1831-position model. The record is from RNAcentral.
CAUGCAUGUCUAAGUAUAAGCAACUAUACGGUGAAACUGCGAAUGGCUCAUUAAAUCAGUUAUCGUUUAUUUGAUAGUACCUCACUACAUGGAUAACCGUGGUAAUUCUAGAGCUAAUACAUGCUAAAAACCCCGACUCACGAAGGGGUGUAUUUAUUAGAUAAAAAACCAAUGCCCUCCGGGGCUCCUUGGUGAAUCAUGAUAACUUAGCGAAUCGCAUGGCCUUGCGCCGGCGAUGGUUCAUUCAAAUUUCUGCCCUAUCAACUUUCGAUGGUAGGAUAGUGGCCUACCAUGGUUUCAACGGGUAACGGGGAAUUAGGGUUCGACUCCGGAGAGGGAGCCUGAGAAACGGCUACCACAUCCAAGGAAGGCAGCAGGCGCGCAAAUUACCCAAUGCCGACACGGCGAGGUAGUGACAAUAAAUACUGAUACAGGGCUCUUUCGGGUCUUGUAAUUGGAAUGAGUACAAUUUAAAUACCUUAACGAGGAACAAUUGGAGGGCAAGUCUGGUGCCAGCAGCCGCGGUAAUUCCAGCUCCAAUAGCGUAUAUUAAAGUUGUUGCAGUUAAAAAGCUCGUAGUUGAACCUUGGGCCUGGCUGGCCGGUCCGCCUCACCGCGUGCACUGGUCCGGCCGGGCCUUUCCUUCUGGGGAGCCGCAUGGCCUUCACUGGCCGUGUCGGGGAACCAGGACUUUUACUUUGAAAAAAUUAGAGUGUUCAAAGCAGGCCUUUGCUCGGAUACAUUAGCAUGGAAUAAUAGAAUAGGACGCGCGGUUCUAUUUUGUUGGUUUCUAGGACCGCCGUAAUGAUUAAUAGGGAUAGUCGGGGGCAUCU